AGUCACCACCGUGGCCUGCGACGAAAUGGCGAAAAGUCUUUUGAAGACAGCCUCUCUGUCUGGAAGGACAAAAUUGCUACAUCAAACAGGAUUGUCACUUUAUAGUACAUCCCAUGGAUUUUAUGAGGAAGAAGUGAAAAAAACACUUCAGCAGUUUCCUGGUGGAUCCAUUGACCUUCAGAAGGAAGACAAUGGCAUUGGCAUUCUUACUCUGAACAAUCCAAGUAAAAUGAAUGCCUUCUCAGGUGUUAUGAUGCUACAACUUCUGGAAAAAGUAAUUGAAUUGGAAAAUUGGACAGAGGGGAAAGGCCUCAUUGUCCGUGGGGCAAAAAAUACUUUCUCUUCAGGAUCUGAUCUGAAUGCUGUGAAAUCACUAGGAACUCCAGAGGCAAGUGUUAUAUGAAUUAUGCAUUAGAUUCUACAUGUUUAUUAGACAUGCAUGGCAGAUACAUUUAUAUUUUACUAAUGGUUAUGAUGACUUAAUAACUUUCAAAGGAUUAUGGGGAUU
Molecule: small RNA, 508 nt
Filed under: Pan troglodytes (chimpanzee)
Lineage: Eukaryota; Metazoa; Chordata; Mammalia; Primates; Hominidae
Description: retained intron
Source: RNAcentral